GUCGGGAGGGCGGCUAAUACAAUACCCACGUUCGUGGGAAAUACGCCCGCCGAUUCGCACUAGACGGUUUCUAACCUCCCGACUCCCCCGC
RNAcentral lists this non-coding RNA (91 nucleotides) under Stenotrophomonas sp. BIIR7. Its description in RNAcentral is "sRNA-Xcc1". It matches the Rfam family "sRNA-Xcc1". Lineage: Bacteria; Pseudomonadati; Pseudomonadota; Gammaproteobacteria; Lysobacterales; Lysobacteraceae. The record is from Rfam by way of RNAcentral.